RNAcentral lists this ribosomal RNA (674 nucleotides) under uncultured cyanobacterium. Its description in RNAcentral is "bacterial SSU rRNA". It matches the Rfam family "Bacterial small subunit ribosomal RNA", at positions 72 to 785 of the family's 1533-position model. The record is from RNAcentral. Lineage: Bacteria; Bacillati; Cyanobacteriota.
AGUUUUUCGGAACUUAGUGGCGGACGGGUGAGUAACGCGUGAGAAUCUGCCUUAAGGAUUGGGACAACAGUGGGAAACCGCUGCUAAUACCAAAUAUGCCUUUUAGUGAAACGGGUAAAACCGCCUUAAGAUGAGCUCGCGUCUGGUUAGCUAGUUGGUGUGGUAAGAGCGCACCAAGGCAACGAUCAGUAGCUGGUCUGAGAGGACGACCAGCCACACUGGGACUGAGACACGGCCCAGACUCCUACGGGAGGCAGCAGUGAGGAAUUUUCCGCAAUGGGCGAAAGCCUGACGGAGCAAUACCGCGUGAGGGAGGAAGGUUCUUGGAUUGUAAACCUCUUUUCUCAGAGAAGAAUAAUGACGGUAUCUGAGGAAUAAGCAUCGGCUAACUCCGUGCCAGCAGCCGCGGUAAUACGGAGGAUGCAAGCGUUAUCCGGAAUGAUUGGGCGUAAAGGGUCUGUAGGUGGUUGUUCAAGUCUGCUGUUAAAGCGUCUGGCUUAACCAGAUAAAGGCGGUGGAAACUGAACGACUAGAGUGCGGUAGGGGUAGAGGGAAUUCCCAGUGUAGCGGUGAAAUGCGUAGAUCUUGGGAAGAACACCUGUGGCGAAAGCGCUCUACUGGACCGCGACUGACACUCAUGGACGAAAGCUAGGGGAGCGAAUGGGAUUAGAUAC